RNAcentral lists this ribosomal RNA (495 nucleotides) under uncultured bacterium. RNAcentral's name for it is "partial 16S ribosomal RNA". It matches the Rfam family "Bacterial small subunit ribosomal RNA", at positions 28 to 507 of the family's 1533-position model. The record is from RNAcentral.
GACGAACGCUGGCGGCGUGCCUAAUACAUGCAAGUAGAACGCUGAAGGAGGAGCUUGCUUCUCUGGAUGAGUUGCGAACGGGUGAGUAACGCGUAGGUAACCUGCCUGGUAGCGGGGGAUAACUAUUGGAAACGAUAGCUAAUACCGCAUAAGAGUAGAUGUUGCAUGACAUUUGCUUAAAAGGUGCAAUUGCAUCACUACCAGAUGGACCUGCGUUGUAUUAGCUAGUUGGUGGGGUAACGGCUCACCAAGGCGACGAUACAUAGCCGACCUGAGAGGGUGAGCGGCCACACUGGGACUGAGACACGGCCCAGACUCCUACGGGAGGCAGCAGUAGGGAAUCUUCGGCAAUGGACGGAAGUCUGACCGAGAAACGCCGCGUGAGUGAAGAAGGUUUUCGGAUCGUAAAGCUCUGUUGUAAGAGAAGAACGAGUGUGAGAGUGGAAAGUUCACACUGUGACGGUAUCUUACCAGAAAGGGACGGCUAACUACGUG